CAAAACUAGCUCAAAACAUAUUAAAACUAAACCAGAAUUACAACUACAAAUAAAACAUUUAUGUAAUAAAAGUAUAGGAGAUAGAAAUUUAUUAAUUGACGCUAUAGAGAUAGUACCGCAAGGGAAAGAUGAAAUAUUAUUUAAUAGUACAGCAAAGCAUAGACUAAUACUAGUACCUUUUGCAUAAUGAUUUAACAAGAAUAACCCUAGCAAAGCGAACUUAGUUAGACACCCCGAAACCAGACGAGCUACUUAGAGACAGUUUUCAGAACCAACCCGUCUAUGUUGCAAAAUAGUGGGACGAUCUUUAAGUAGAGGUGAAAAGCCUAACGAGCCUGGUGAUAGCUGGUUAUCCAAAUAUGAAUUUAAGUUCUACUUUAAAUAUACCUAAACAAACUACAAUGCAUAUGUAUAUUUAAAAGCUACCCUAUAGAGGUACAGCUCUCUAGGUAUAAGGGAACAACCUAUUUUAGUGAAUAAACUACUUUUAUCAUACUUAGUGGGCCUGAAAGCAGCCAUCACUCAAAAAAGCGUUAAAGCUUAAUAAUUAAACUAAUUAUAAUCCAAAACUCUAAACUUAAUUCCUACAACCAAUAUUGGAUAAUUCUACUACUCAGGUAGAAGGUACACUGUUAAUAUGAGUAACAAGAAAUAAUUCUCCUUGCAUAAGCCUACAUCUAACACCUUGUUUCGAUAAUUAAACAACAUAAUAGUCUCAAUCCACCCAUAAACAAGCUAUCAACCCACUGUUAACCCUACAUAGGAAUGCAAACAGGAAAGAUUAAAAGAAAUGAAAGGAACUCGGCAAA
RNAcentral lists this ribosomal RNA (809 nucleotides) under Pedetes capensis (springhare). RNAcentral's name for it is "partial 16S ribosomal RNA". The stretch from base 160 to 637 matches the Rfam family "Bacterial large subunit ribosomal RNA", at positions 573 to 1301 of the family's 2925-position model. The record is from RNAcentral. Lineage: Eukaryota; Metazoa; Chordata; Mammalia; Rodentia; Pedetidae.